This 1419-nucleotide ribosomal RNA is filed under the name uncultured bacterium. Its description in RNAcentral is "bacterial SSU rRNA". It matches the Rfam family "Bacterial small subunit ribosomal RNA". The record is from RNAcentral.
GAGUUUGAUCAUGGCUCAGGACGAACGCUGGCGGCGUGCUUAACACAUGCAAGUCGAACGGGCCUGCCUGGCUUUGGUUGGGUGGGUGAGUGGCGAACGGGUGAGUAACACGUGAGUAACCUGCCCUCUUCUCUUGGAUAACUGCUUGAAAGGGCGGCUAAUACGGGAUGUUCUGGCUGCCUCGCAUGGGGUGGUUUGGAAAGAUUCGGCCUGGUUUUGGUUGUUUUGGUGGGGGAUGGGCUCGCGGCUUAUCAGCUUGUUGGUGGGGUGAUGGCCUACCAAGGCGGUGACGGGUAGCCGGCCUGAGAGGGUGGACGGUCACACUGGGACUGAGACACGGCCCAGACUCCUGCGGGAGGCAGCAGUGGGGGAUUUUGCACAAUGGGCGCAAGCCUGAUGCAGCGACGCCGCGUGAGGGAUGGAGGCCUUCGGGUUGUGAACCUCUGUCGCCGGUGAUGUAGGCUCUGCUUUGUGGGUGGGGUUGACGGUAGCCGGGGUAUGAAGUGCCGGCUAACUACGUGCCAGCAGCCGCGGUAAUACGUAGGGCGCGAGCGUUGUCCGGAAUUAUUGGGCGUAAAGAGCUCGUAGGCGGCUGGUCGCGUCUGUCGUGAAAUCCUCUGGCUUAACUGGGGGCGUGCGGUGGGUACGGGCCGGCUUGAGUGCGGUAGGGGAGGCUGGAAUUCCUGGUGUAGCGGUGGAAUGCGCAGAUAUCAGGAGGAACACCGGUGGCGAAGGCGGGUCUCUGGGCCGUGUACUGACGCUGAGGAGCGAAAGCGUGGGGAGCGAACAGGAUUAGAUACCCUGGUAGUCCAUGCUGUAAACGUUGGGCACUAGGUGUGGGGGGUCUUUCCGGGUCUUCCGCGCCGUAGCUAACGCAUUAAGUGCCCCGCCUGGGGAGUACGGCCGCAAGGCUAAAACUCAAAGGAAUUGACGGGGGCCCGCACAAGCGGUGGAGCAUGUGGUUUAAUUCGACGCAACGCGAGGAACCUUACCAGCGUUUGACAUCUUAGGAAUGAGAUAGAGAUAUUUCAGUGUCCCUUCGGGGAAACCUAAAGACAGGUGGUGCAUGGCUGUCGUCAGCUCGUGUCGUGAGAUGUUGGGUUAAGUCCCGCAACGAGCGCAACCCCUUUCGUAUGUUACCAUCAUUAAGUUGGGGACUCAUGCGAUACUGCCUACGAUGAGUAGGAGGAAGGUGGGGAUGACGUCAAGUCAUCAUGCCCCUUAUACGCUGGGCUACACACGUGCUACAAUGGGUAGAACAGAGAGUUGCAAAGCCGUGAGGUGAAGCUAAUCUCAGAAAACUAUUCUUAGUUCGGAUUGUACUCUGCAACUCGAGUACAUGAAGUUGGAAUCGCUAGUAAUCGCGAAUCAGCAAUGUCGCGGUGAAUACGUUCUCGGGUCUUGUACACACCGCCCGUC